CCUACGUGAGGCUGCAGUGAGGAAUAUUGGUCAAUGGACGCAAGUCUGAACCAGCCAUGCCGCGUGCAGGAAGACGGCUCUAUGAGUUGUACACUGCUUUUGUACGAGGGUAAAUCCCGAUCCGUGUACCGGUUUGAAAGUAUCGUACGAAUACUGAUCGGCUAACUCCGUGCCAGAAGCCGCGGUAAUACGGAGGAUUCAAGCGUUAUCCGGAUGGACUGGUCUUAAAGAGUGCGUAGGUGGUUUGGCAAGUUGGUAGCGGAAUACUGGGGCUCAACCUCGGUUCUACUACCAAAACUGUUGAACUUGAGUGCAGGAGGGGUGAAUGGAAUUCCCAGUGUAGCGGUGGAAUGCGUAGAUAUUGGGAAGAACACCAGCGGCGAAGGCGAUUCACUGGACUGCAACUGACACUGAGGCACGAAAGCGUGGGGAGCAAACAGGAUUAGAUACCCUAGUAGUC
This 460-nucleotide ribosomal RNA is filed under the name uncultured bacterium. RNAcentral's name for it is "partial 16S ribosomal RNA". It matches the Rfam family "Bacterial small subunit ribosomal RNA", at positions 338 to 795 of the family's 1533-position model. The record is from RNAcentral.